AAUGCUUACAGGUUAGAGAUCCUGGAAGAAGACCACGUUGCUGACCGAAACUUGCAAGAGGUUGUGUUCGAGUUAGAGUCAUUUAAGUGGAUAAAAGAUACGACACCACAUCUUGAUCUUCCGAUUUCUUACACAAACAUUCCACCAUCUAUUUUGAAGGCACCCAAACUAGAACUAAAGUCGCUGCCCAAACACCUCAAGUAUGUCUUUUCGGGUGAAGGAUAAACCGUCCCAAUG
Molecule: long non-coding RNA, 237 nt
Filed under: Carica papaya (papaya)
Lineage: Eukaryota; Viridiplantae; Streptophyta; Magnoliopsida; Brassicales; Caricaceae
Description: long non-coding RNA (CPAP_LNC013017)
Source: RNAcentral